Molecule: ribosomal RNA, 482 nt
Filed under: uncultured bacterium
Lineage: Bacteria
Description: bacterial SSU rRNA
Rfam family: Bacterial small subunit ribosomal RNA
Source: RNAcentral
GGCGGCAUGCCUAACACAUGCAAGUCGAACGGCAGCACGGCAGUAGCAAUACUGUGGGUGGCGAGUGGCGGACGGGUGAGGAAUACGUCGGAAUCUGCCCAGUCGUGGGGGAUAACUAGCCGAAAGGUUAGCUAAUACCGCAUACGACCGAGAGGUGAAAGCGGGGGACCGCAAGGCCUCGCGCGAUUGGAUGAGCCGACGUCGGAUUAGCUAGUUGGAGGGGUAAAGGCCCACCAAGGCGACGAUCCGUAGCUGGUCUGAGAGGAUGAUCAGCCACACUGGAACUGAGACACGGUCCAGACUCCUACGGGAGGCAGCAGUCGAGAAUAGUCUACAAUGGUCGGAAGACUGAUAGUGCGACGCCGCGUGAACGAUGAAUCCCUUCGGGGUGUAAAGUUCUUUUAUAUGUGAGCAGUGCUUCUUAUAUUAACAGUAUGGGGAGAGAGAUAUUAGCAUAUGAAUAAGCAACGGCUAACUCCGUG